Molecule: non-coding RNA, 201 nt
Organism: Oryza glumipatula
Lineage: Eukaryota; Viridiplantae; Streptophyta; Magnoliopsida; Poales; Poaceae
Source: Rfam
AAAAAAACAAACCCUGAGUUUCCGUGUCUAACGUUUAACUAUCCGUCUUAUAUGAAAUUUUUUUAUAAUUAGUAUUUUCAUUGUUAUUAGAUGAUAAAACAUGAAUAAUAAUUUAUGCGUGACUUAUGUUUUUAAUUUUUUUAGAGUAAAGUCCAUCACCGGUCCUUAAACUUAUACCGUUGUGUCAUCCCGGUCCCUAAA